GAUGAACGCGUAGCGGCAGGCUUAAUACAUGCAAGUCGAGGGGCAACAGGGGUAGCAAUACCUGCUGGCGACCGGCAAACGGGUGCGGAACACGUACAGAACCUUCCUUUAAGCGGGGGAUAGCCCAUAGAAAUGUGGAUUAAUACCCCAUAGUAAUAUUUGGUGGCAUCAUUAGAUAUUUAAAGAUUUAUCACUUAAAGAUGGCUGUGCGGCUGAUUAGGUAGUUGGUGCAGGUAAGGCUCACCAAGCCAGCGAUCAGUAACUGGUGUGAGAGCACGACCAGUCACACGGGCACUGAG
RNAcentral lists this ribosomal RNA (299 nucleotides) under uncultured bacterium. RNAcentral describes it as "partial 16S ribosomal RNA". It matches the Rfam family "Bacterial small subunit ribosomal RNA", at positions 28 to 323 of the family's 1533-position model. The record is from RNAcentral.